GAUGAACGCUAGCGGCAGGCCUAAUACAUGCAAGUCGGACGGGAUUCAGGAGCUUGCUUCUGAUGAGAGUGGCGCACGGGUGCGUAACACGUAUGUAACCUACCUUUAUCAGGGGGAUAGCCUCUCGAAAGAGAGAUUAAGCCCGCAUAAAAUCACAGCACAGCAUUGUGUAAUGAUCAAAUAUUUAUAGGAUAAAGAUGGGCAUGCGGAACAUUAGCUAGAUGGCGGGGUAACGGCCCACCAUGGCGACGAUGUUUAGGGGAUCUGAGAGGAUGGCCCCCCACACUGGUACUGAGCCACGGACCAGACUCCUACGGGAGGCAGCAGUAAGGAAUAUUGGUCAAUGGGCGGAAGCCUGAACCAGCCAUGCCGCGUGCAGGAAGACGGCCCUACGGGUUGUAAACUGCUUUUAUACGGGAAUAAACCCAGAUACGUGUAUCUGGCUGAAUGUACUGUAAGAAUAAGGAUCGGCUAACUCCGUG
Molecule: ribosomal RNA, 482 nt
Filed under: uncultured bacterium
Lineage: Bacteria
Description: partial 16S ribosomal RNA
Rfam family: Bacterial small subunit ribosomal RNA
Source: RNAcentral